This 254-nucleotide ribosomal RNA is filed under the name uncultured bacterium. RNAcentral describes it as "partial 16S ribosomal RNA". It matches the Rfam family "Bacterial small subunit ribosomal RNA", at positions 524 to 776 of the family's 1533-position model. The record is from RNAcentral.
UACGUAGGGGGCGAGCGUUUGUCCGGAGUUACUGGGCGUAAAGCGCUUGUAGGCGGUCCACCAAGUUUGGGGUGACAGUUGCCGACUUAAUCGGCAAAGUGCCUCAAAGACUGGCGGACUUGAGGGCCACAGAGGGACAUGGAACUCCAGGUGUAGUGGUGAAAUGCGUAGAUAUCUGGAAGAACACCAAAGGCGAAGGCAGUGUCCUGGGUGGUCGCUGACGCUGAGAGGCGAAAGCCAGGGGAGCGAACGGG